GAAAUGCGAUACGUAAUGCGAAUUGCAGAAUUCAGUGAAUCAUCAAAUCUUUGAACGCAAAUUGCGCUCUUGGGUAGCCCUAGGAGCACGCCUCUCUCAGUAUCGGUUCAACAAUCUCUCAGCAGCGUAUAGCAAUAUACGUGUUCGCUGGAUAAUGAGAGUCUGAGAAUUUAUUCUCAGUCUCU
Molecule: unclassified non-coding RNA, 185 nt
Filed under: uncultured fungus
Lineage: Eukaryota; Fungi
Description: sequence contains ITS1
Rfam family: 5.8S ribosomal RNA (bases 1-105)
About the family: 5.8S ribosomal RNA (5.8S rRNA) is a component of the large subunit of the eukaryotic ribosome.
Source: RNAcentral